AUGCAUGGGGGAGUAGAUCAACCCAUGUGGAUGCUAACUAAAAAUAGGAAAUUCUCAGUAAAAUCCCUAUACUCUUUUUUGAUUAAUGAUGGAGUGGGAUUUCCACAGAAAUUCUCGUGGAAAACAAAAGUGCCAUCAAAAAUCAAAAUGUUUCUUUGGCUUGUGACCAGGAGAAGCAUUUUGACAAAAGAUAAUCUGCUUAGGAAAGGAUGGAAAGGUGCAAAAGAAUGUGUGUACUGUGGAAAAGAAGAAACUAUUGACCACUUAUUUUUUGAUUGCUCUGCAGCUAGAUUGGUCUGGAGCCUAAUCAAAUGUGUCUUUGAUCUUAGGCGAUCCCCCACUAAUCUAAAUGAUUUCUUGGGAGGAUGGUUAAAAUCCUUUAAGAAACCAGAGAAACAAAUGGUGUUAGUGGGGAGUGCAGCUGUUUUUUGGGCUUUGUGGAAAUGCAGAAAUGAUAUAAUCUUCAGAUAA
Molecule: ribosomal RNA, 471 nt
Filed under: Triticum aestivum (bread wheat)
Lineage: Eukaryota; Viridiplantae; Streptophyta; Magnoliopsida; Poales; Poaceae
Description: partial small subunit ribosomal RNA
Source: RNAcentral